UACGUAGGGGGCAAGCGUUGUCCGGAAUCAUUGGGCGUAAAGAGCGCGUAGGCGGUCCGGUAAGUCCGCUCUGAAAGUCCGGGGCUCAACCCCGGGAGGCGGGCGGAUACUGUCGGGCUAGAGUCCGGAAGAGGCGAGUGGAAUUCCGGGUGUAGCGGUGGAAUGCGUAGAGAUCCGGAGGAAGACCGGUGGCGAAGGCGGUCUGCUGGGCAGUUUCUGACACUGAUGCGCGACAGCGUGGGGAGCAAACAGG
This 253-nucleotide ribosomal RNA is filed under the name uncultured bacterium. RNAcentral's name for it is "partial 16S ribosomal RNA". It matches the Rfam family "Bacterial small subunit ribosomal RNA", at positions 524 to 776 of the family's 1533-position model. The record is from RNAcentral.